GACAUGGACACACAGACCUAGGGACACUGGGAGACAUGGGGACACUGAGACACCAGGGACACUGGCUGGGAGACAUGGGGACACUGAGACACUUGGGAACAUUGUGUCCCUAGUGUCUCAGUGUCCCCAUGUCUCCCAGUAUCCCCAAGUGUCUCAGUGUCCCCAUGUAU
Pelobates cultripes (western spadefoot toad) is the source of this 170-nucleotide non-coding RNA. Lineage: Eukaryota; Metazoa; Chordata; Amphibia; Anura; Pelobatidae. The record is from the annotation of a GenBank genome assembly.